CAACAGUUAUAAUUAACUCUUUAAAAUACUCAUGGAAAACAUUUUCUUUCAUAUUUCAGCUACUGAAGCUGGAGGAGGGAGGUCUGGACAGGAAAUCCUUGUUAUUAUUGCUGGAUGCUUCUGUUUCAUCUUGCUGCUUCUGCUGCUGUUCUGCUAUGCAUGGCACAGAGGGGAAGCUCCUCCGCUGAUGAGAUGCAUAAAUCAACAGGUCCAAAGCCCUAAUGAGCCACAGAGAAGAUGGUCAGAGGCAGACCUGGAAAGGAUUUACAUAAAUGUCGUCUACUUUGGGAAGAGGUAGCCAAAAAACUGUGAUGUGCUCACAGUAUUUAGCAAAUGGUAGCUGAAAGACAAUGUACAAGGGUGACUAACAAAGCUGUGGGAGUUGUUUCAAGCUAGAACUCAUCAUCUGGAAAAAUAGAUGCUUUUUAAAAGAAUAAGCACAGCACUGCUGUGAUAGCUCCAGCUGGCAGAGAGCAGGACACUUCCCCAUCAACAGAGCUGGCAUUGUCUAGGAUUAAUACUCAGAAACCACUCCUGUACUCUGAGCACAACAUUUUAGCUGAUUGACCAAACAGUUUGGGCUGUGCCUAAACUAACCAGAGAAAUAAUCUCCUGAGUCCCAAGCUAGCUGUAUUAAUUCUGUAUUUAUGUAAGUAGAUCUCUAGAUCAAAUGCUGCUAAUGUUACCCUGUCCCUCAUAACUUUUAUGACUGUUGUCUCUGGCAAUGUAUUAUAUAAUUUUAUUAGAGUAAAUGAAUAGCAAUCGAUCCACUCUCCAUUCCAAGGAGAUCUGGAAGACAUUGAUGCUUUGGUGCUUUAUUUACAUUUAUCAAGGUCCCCAAAACUUGAUGAAUGCCUUAUGGAAUAUAUUUUGAUAGUGCCCUGUGAGUCACUGAUAGAACUAGGUAUGUUAUUGGGCAGGGACAGUUUGGAGCAAUGUUACAGACUGAAUGUGUCCAUAGACUUUGAAUAUCAGCUGUAACUUAGUGGACUGGGCUGGUAUGGGGCAAGAUUCUCUCCUGUCAUGAUGGUGGCAGCUGUGAA
Rhea pennata is the source of this 1043-nucleotide long non-coding RNA. RefSeq lists it as uncharacterized. The record is from RefSeq and is a predicted model, not a curated record. The transcript has 3 exons. Lineage: Eukaryota; Metazoa; Chordata; Aves; Rheiformes; Rheidae.